Molecule: ribosomal RNA, 420 nt
Filed under: bacterium
Lineage: Bacteria
Description: partial 16S ribosomal RNA
Rfam family: Bacterial small subunit ribosomal RNA
Source: RNAcentral
UGGGGGAUAUUGCACAAUGGGCGAAAGCCUGAUGCAGCGACGCCGCGUGGGGGAUGAAGGCUUUCGGGUUGUAAACCUCUUUCGCUAUCGAACAAGGCCCGCUUAGGGUGGGUUGAGGGUAGGUGGAGAAGAAGCGCCGGCUAACUACGUGCCAGCAGCCGCGGUAAUACGUAGGGCGCGAGCGUUGUCCGGAAUUAUUGAGCGUAAAGGGCUUGUAGGCGGCUUGUUGCGCCUGCUGUGAAAACGCGGGGCUUAACUUCGCGCGUGCAGUGGGUACGGGCAGGCUUGAGUGUGGUAGGGGUGACUGGAAUUCCAGGUGUAGCGGAGGAAUGCGCAGAUAUCUGGAGGAACACCGAUGGCGAAGGCAGGUCACUGGGCCAUUACUGACGCUGAGGAGCGAAAGCAUGGGUAGCGAACAGG